This 436-nucleotide ribosomal RNA is filed under the name uncultured bacterium. RNAcentral describes it as "partial 16S ribosomal RNA". It matches the Rfam family "Bacterial small subunit ribosomal RNA", at positions 29 to 507 of the family's 1533-position model. The record is from RNAcentral.
AGCGAACGCUGGCGGCAGGCUUAACACAUGCAAGUCGAGCGGGCAUCCUUGUGGUGUCAGCGGCAGACGGGUGAGUCACGCGUGGGAACGAGCCCUUCGGUUCGGAAUAACUCAGGGAAACUUGAGCUAUACAGGAUAAGCGCGAGAGCAGAAAGGUUUAUCUGCCGAAGGAUCGGCCCGCGACUGAUUAGCUAGUUGGUGUGGUUAUGGCUCACCAAGGCGACAAUCAGUAGCUGGGCUGAGAGGAUGAUCAGCCACACUGGGACUGAGACACCGCCCAGACUCCUACGGGAGGCAGGAGAGGGGAAUAUAGGACAAUGGGGGGAACGCUGAACCAGCCAGGCCGCGUGAGUGAUGACGGCCUGAGGGUUGUAAAGCUCAUUUCUCCGGGACGGUAAUGACGGUACCGGAGGAAUAAGCCCCGGCUAACUUCGUG